GGUGGCUCAGUGGCAGAGUGCUUGCCUUGCAUGCAUGAGGCUCUGGGUUCAAUUCCUCAGCACCA
Molecule: transfer RNA, 65 nt
Filed under: Dipodomys ordii (Ord's kangaroo rat)
Lineage: Eukaryota; Metazoa; Chordata; Mammalia; Rodentia; Heteromyidae
Rfam family: tRNA
About the family: Transfer RNA (tRNA) molecules are approximately 80 nucleotides in length. Their secondary structure includes four short double-helical elements and three loops (D, anti-codon, and T loops). Further hydrogen bonds mediate the characteristic L-shaped molecular structure. tRNAs have two regions of fundamental functional importance: the anti-codon, which is responsible for specific mRNA codon recognition, and the 3' end, to which the tRNAs corresponding amino acid is attached (by aminoacyl-tRNA synthetases). tRNAs cope with the degeneracy of the genetic code in two manners: having more than one tRNA (with a specific anti-codon) for a particular amino acid; and 'wobble' base-pairing, i.e. permitting non-standard base-pairing at the 3rd anti-codon position.
Source: Rfam by way of RNAcentral